GCUAUGACAUGAUAAUAUUCCAUCACACUGAGUCGAAAUGUGAUUUUGUAGUUGAAUUUUUUUAGUGGUAUAGUUUUGUUUGAACCUUGAAUUAUGCAGUAAUACGAUUUUUGGUAUCCAGAAAAUCAUGUAAUAUUGUUUAGUUUGGGAAGUUAAUAUAUAUUUGCAACCUGAAUUUUCCUUUUGGUUAAGUAAAAUGCUUGUUUCAUUUGAAGUUCAUUAUUUGGGAUGCUAGGAGAGGAAUAUACUUUAAACUGAAACCAAUUUGCUUUUUGUCUGAAUUGGUACCCC
Molecule: long non-coding RNA, 291 nt
Filed under: Vigna radiata
Lineage: Eukaryota; Viridiplantae; Streptophyta; Magnoliopsida; Fabales; Fabaceae
Description: long non-coding RNA (VRAD_LNC010936)
Source: RNAcentral